AUUGAACGCUGGCGGCAGGCCUAACACAUGCGAGUCGAACGGUAACAGGAAGAAGCUUGCUUCUUUGCUGACGAGUGGCGGACGGGUGAGUAAUGUCUGGGAAACUGCCUGAUGGAGGGGGAUAACUACUGGAAACGGUAGCUAAUACCGCAUAACGUCGCAAGACCAAAGAGGGGGACCUUCGGGCCUCUUGCCAUCGGAUGUGCCCAGAUGGGAUUAGCUAGUAGGUGGGGUAACGGCUCACCUAGGCGACGAUCCCUAGCUGGUCUGAGAGGAUGACCAGCCACACUGGAACUGAGACACGGUCCAGACUCCUACGGGAGGCAGCAGUGGGGAAUAUUGCACAAUGGGCGCAAGCCUGAUGCAGCCAUGCCGCGUGUAUGAAGAAGGCCUUCGGGUUGUAAACUACUUUCAGCGGGGAGGAAGGGAGUAAAGUUAAUACCUUUGCUCAUUGACGUUACCCGCAGAAGAAGCACCGGCUAACUCCGUG
This 490-nucleotide ribosomal RNA is filed under the name uncultured bacterium. RNAcentral's name for it is "partial 16S ribosomal RNA". It matches the Rfam family "Bacterial small subunit ribosomal RNA", at positions 30 to 507 of the family's 1533-position model. The record is from RNAcentral.